This 1215-nucleotide ribosomal RNA is filed under the name Triticum aestivum (bread wheat). Its description in RNAcentral is "partial small subunit ribosomal RNA". Lineage: Eukaryota; Viridiplantae; Streptophyta; Magnoliopsida; Poales; Poaceae. The record is from RNAcentral.
AUGACGACCACCGACAGCGGGCCCACGCGUCAGCCAGUGGAAGCGUCCUUUUUUAACAACGCGUGCGGCGGGGUCGGCCUCAUCCACUUCUCCCGUCCACAUCUGCCCCCCCCCCCACCCCCACUCCCUUUGCUUCCUCGCCGGCGACCGCAAACCCUAGCCAUGGGCCUCUUCGGCAACAGCAAUGGCAAGGGCAAGGGCACCCCCGGCGCCUCGUCCUCCCGUGCUCCCCUUCCCCCUCCUCCUCCUCCGGCGGCGACGCGUUUCCGCCCUGGUCGCCGGCGCCUGCACAUCCCGGUGCACCAAGCGCGAUGGCACUGGGAGUACAGGCAGCCAUUGCCGUACCCCGAUGUCACGCUGCCGCACCAUUGGCAUCUGGAUCCGCAGCGGAUCCCGGUGCCGGCGGUUCCUCGUACACAACGGGCGCACGCCGACGAGGUGCGCAGGCGCCACGCGCAGCUCACGCCGGAGCAGCGUCGGCUGCCAGAGUACGCCGCCGACUCCCCCAACUGGGAGGCAUGGUUUGCCCUCGAACACGAGGAGCAACGGCGCUCAGGUGUCGACGCCGUCCCGCCGCCGUUCCCACCGCCGCCCCCGCAGGUAGAGCCGGAGGACAUGGAGGCGGAGGCGGAGUACCAAGCCGCCCUCGAGGAGGCCCUGCAGCACGCGCUGGAGGCUAGCCGCCUCGAGGAGGACGCGCACUGGGAUGGGCUGGAGCAAGCCCUUGCCCUGUCGGCAGCGGGGGACUCUGUCCACACCCCGCUCUUCGUGCCGCCACCGCCACCGUCGUCGUCCGUCCAGCCCAAGCCGGAGCCGGAGCCUGUUUCACCUGUCGCCUCUAUUAUGCCAGCAAUACAGUUAAAUUUCCGAGAAACAAAUUGUCCUGAGAAGAAACAGGACAUUCGUCCUGUGGUGUGUGCGAUCCCGAAGCCGCCACAUCAUCCUGAUAAGCCGGGAUAUGCAAGACCCAAUCACCGAACGACAGCGAAAUCGAUCCCAUCCGUCCGUGGCCGCUCCGCGAAGCCAGGUGUGAUCAUGGAUGGACCACCCCACAUCCUCCACGUGACCCCCGCCUACGUCCAUCUGCUUCCUUCUCAUCUACUACCAGCUCGCCCCCUCAUCCCCGGCUCCAACCAUUUAUUUCGCUCUCGCACCAAGGAGAAAAGCCUCAAAUCUAUCUCCCGUCUGGCAGCCUGCCUGCAGCCUGCUUGUUGA